AACAACUAUAGGGAAGCUACGAUGAACAACAAGUAAUGAGUGUGACUCAAUAAGUUACCCAAUCUCAUGGUGAACUCGAAGUUCACAAGCAUAACUCACGUGUAAGUCUCAUAAGGAAAGUCUCACUGAACUACUCCCGAGACCGCCUGCGGACAGCACACAGACCGUCCAGACAGCACACUGACUGUCCCUCUAGUGACCAACCUCCGGAGUGCACAGCUUGCGGGGAGCGACCCCUCCAAGCACAGACAGGCUAUGUGAGCAUGAUCAACUCACGAACAACAGCAACCUACCCUCUAAGGGUAAUCUCAUCAUGGAAUCAAGGUGUUCUUGUACCCAAUCUCAUAGGGUCUCAACUACACUAAGGUUCUCAUAUCAAAAUUAUCAAUAACCAUAUGUCCUUCAUCAUAGUUUUCUAUAACUAGAUGCCACUUGUCAUAGUUUUCUAAACUAGAUGCCACUCGUCAUUUAGACUCAUUUUCAACACUAGUUACAUCAUACUAGUUCUUUAAUCUCAUAAACAUUAACCAUUACAUAUAGGGUCUAGGUUUCCAUCAUGAAGUUUUCAUGCAUACGAGAUCAUGGAUCAAUCAACAAGAUAUAUAGCUACUAGCAUGCAAAUAUAAGCAACAAUAAUCAUCUUCUAACCCUAUAUGCAACAUGAAUAGGAUGCAAUUAGAUCAAUAAUAAACUUGAACAUAGAACGUAGCCCCGCGGCUUCGGGAAGGUCACCACCCACCUUGUGGUAGUGCCGAAAAGCCAAGAAACUCGACGUCGAAAUCCACGUGCGCCGCUUCAACACCUUGGGUCAAAACGAACCCUAGAGUGACCAAAUCGGCGAUAUCUCCGCGCUCGCUCGACGGAUAGACGAACCGUCUUCGCCUACGCGUUCGGGAGCAUAACAAUUAGGUUUCCGACCCAUCAAAAUAGAUCAAAACCCUAUAAUCCCAAAAACCCCAAAAUCCAACCCUAGGCUUAGGACCCAUGGGAAACCAUGGUUUCUAGCUUCAUUGUGAGCUAGAUCCAUGUCCUCUAAACUCAUUAGGUUCCAUUUGAACCAUUAAAAGUAACAAAAACCUCCCAAACCCUAGAAAUCACAAAUUAGGGUUGAGGCUUACCUCUAAGGUUUGCUCCAAAGCAAGCCCUAGCUUGAGGAAGAGGAGGGAGAGAAGCUUCUUCUUCUUCUCCUUGAUCUUCUCCUUCCUUUCCUUCUUCUCUUCUUCUUCUUUCUCUCCUUCUUUUCUUCUUCUCCUUCUUCUACGGUUAGAGAGAGAGAGAGCUAAGUGAGAGGGAGAGAGAGAGGCUAAGAGUGAGAGGGAGGCCGAGAGAGAGAGGUAUUAUAACCCUCUAAUGUAACAAAAUCCCAAAAAGCCCCUCUAUUUUCUAUUUUCCCAACUUGACCUGCAGUUUCAGGUCCCUUGUACCGGUACACGGAUUCUUGUACCGGUACAAGGCCUAGCAGACAGCCCAACUCGAGGCUCGGUUUCUCGGUUGCGCAGGGCUUGUACUGGUACAAGACCCCCUUGUACCGGUACAAGGUCUGGCAGCCACCAACCCGAGAGCUGCGAUGGUUGUAUCGGUACAACCAUCACUCUUGUACCAGUACAACAGCUCCAGAAUGCUGUUUUCACGUCUCUUCGGCUCUACUUCGCGCCAAUUGAUGUCAAAACCAUUCCAACACCUUUGGAACUCAUUUUAGCUCUUCCAAACUUGUUGGAAUACCGAAUGGAAUUUGUCCAAACCGUUCAAUUGCCUACUUUGGUCCAUUUGGCCAAAGUUAGCCAAAAUCUAUCGAGUUUUAAUAUCUCACAUUCUCCACCCCUUAAAAGGAGUUUCGUCCUCGAAACAACUUAACUCAUAACUCGAACAAAACUCUUACCUCAAUCCUCGAACAAGUGAGGAUGAUUCGCUUUCAUCUGGUCCUCAAGUUCCCAAGUGGCUUCGCGAUCGUCGUGAUUGCUCCACCGGACCUUAACAUAGGAAAUAUCUCGAUUCCUUAGCUUACGCACCUCUCGAGCCAAAAUCUUCAUCGGAAACUCUUCAUAGCUCAUAUCCUCUUGAAGCUCCGGCGGCUCAUAGACUAGAACAUGCUCGGGAUCAUGCAUGUACUUGCGAAGAUUAGAGACGUGGAAGACAUUGUGCACACCCGCAAGCUUUGGGGGCAAUGCAAGUCGGUAUGCCACCGCCACAAUUCGCUCUAAGAUCUCGUAGGGGCCAAUAUAACGAGGACUUAGCUUUCCUCGCACCCCAAACCUCUUCACGCCUCGCAUCGGCGAAACCUUCAAAAACACGCGGUCACCCACCGCGAACUCCAAAUCUCUACGGCGUUUAUCUGAAUAGCUUUUCUGUCGCGACUUCGCCGUGAGGAACCUUUUGCGAGCAAGGUGCACUUUCUCUUCCGCCUCCCGCAAAACAUCCGGACCGAACUCAACUCGCUCGCCUACGUCACUCCAAUAAAUGGGAGAUCGACACUUCCGCCCGUAGAGAGCCUCGAACGGUGCCAUUCCCACGCUAGCAUGAUAACUGUUAUUGUAGGCGAACUCGGCCAUCGGCAGAUGCUUACACCAACCGCCCUUGUAGUCAAUAACACAUGCUCGCAGCAUAUCCUCCAGAGUCUGAAUAGUCCUCUCAGUCUGCCCAUCUGUCUGGGGAUGGAAUGCAGUGCUAAACUCGAGAUGCGUGCUAAGGGCAUCCUGCAGGCUCCUCCAGAAAUGUGAGGUAAACUUGGUCUCGAUCUGAUACAAUCGACUUUGGUACCCCGUGAAGCCUCACUAUCUCAUCAAGAUAUACCUGAGCCAAUCUCUCGCCUGCCCAAGUGCCAUGGAUCGGUAUGAAAUGUGCCGACUUCGUCAAGCGAUCCACAAUCACCCAAAUUGCAUCGUGGCAAGCCAACUCGUGGAACAUCUUGGUGCCGCCCGGGUGAUCAGCAUAAGGAGACCAAUAUGACUCAUGCAAUACAAGCUUGCGAAGCUCCUCGUUCGCAGGUACACACCACCGGUUCUUAAACCGAAGUGCACCAUCAGCAUCCAUAGCGAAGUCUCCACCUCGGCCAUCCACUAUGCUCUGCCGCACCUUUUGGAGAAACGGGUCCGCCAGCUGCAGACUUUUAAUCUUGUCCAAUAGGAUAGGCUGGACCACAAGUGCCAACAACAUCGCCAGAACCUCGGGAGCUACAACCUCAAGAUUCAUCCUCCCCAUUUGCAACUGUAGGGGCGUCUGAUCGGUAACACAUAAAGCUAGGUUUUCAACAGACUUCCGGCUAAGCGCAUCGGCGACUACAUUCGCCUUCCCGGGGUGGUAGAGAAUAUCAACAUCGCAAUCCUUAAGCAACUACAACCACCGCCGCUGUCGCAGAUUCAGCUCCUUCUUGGUGAACAAAUAUUUUAAGCUUUUGUGGUCGGUGUAGAUCUCGCAAUGAGCACCAUAAAGAUAAUGCCUCCAGAGCUUCAAGGCAAAGAUCACCUCCGCCAACUCUAAAUCGUGAAUGGGGUAGUUCUUUUCAUAGCUCUUUAGCUGACGGGAUGCAUAGGCAAUAACCUUCCCGCCCUGCAUCAACACACACCCCAAGCCCAGAUAAGAAGCAUCGCUAUAAACGACGUAGUCCUGCCCCUGCACCGGUAAGGCGAGCACCGGAGUCGAAGUUAACCUUUGCUUUAACUCUUUAAAACUCUGGUCGCACUCGUCGCUCCAAACGAACUUGGUGCCCUUCUGCGUCAGACGGGUAAGAGGUGUCAUAAUCUCAGAGAACCCCUCCACGAACCGUCGAUAAUAACCUGCUAGGCCCACAAAGCUACGGACCUCAGCUACACUCGUCGGGCGCGGCCAAUUCUCAAUAGCUUCAACUUUCCUCGGGUCAACUGAAACACCACCCUCGAAAAUAACAUGCCCGAGAAAUGCAACCUCCCUGAGCCAGAAGUCGCACUUCUUUAGCUUUGCGUACAACUUCUUCUCCCGAAGAAUCUGAAGUACUGUGCGCAAAUGCUCCGCGUGUUCCUCGUUGCUACACGAAUAUACCAAAAUGUCGUCUAGGAAGACUACGACAAAUCGGUCCAAGCACUCCUGGAACACUCAGUUCAUCAAGCUCAUGAAUGCUGCUGGGGCAUUUGUGAGCCCAAACGGCAUCACCGUGAACUCAUAGUGUCCAUAACACGUGCGAAACGCCGUCUUCUCAAUAUCUUCCGGCUUGAUCUUUAACUGAUGGUAGCCGUGUUAGAUGUAUGCCCUAGAAGCCAACAAGGCCGACACAUGUAUUCUUUCUAGGACAUAAUUUUGUAUUUGAUUUUAAAAUAUUAUGAAUAACUUUGGGUUUUUAUUUCCAUUCAUGUUGUGUAUGUGUCCAUGAAUCGUCCAAGGAAUUAAUAAGAUGAUGACAUAUAUUUUCAAGUGUUGAGAAUUUGAGACAUGUGUCAUUGGUGAUUAAUUCCUAAAUGCUCCCGAUCAAUGGAUCAUCACGGGGACGGUGAUUGAUCCAGUGAGAUUGGUGCAUAGGUCGCUUCCCUUUUGGGUAGACGAGUCUCGAGUCGACAGUGUGGGGACACUGAAGCGAAUAUGCAGGUGGUUGUUAGAGAACAAGGGUACCGAGCGUGACCAACGCGAGAAGUCACUUGGAUGUCUACUCACUCGUCAGUGACUUACUCAAUUGUUGCAGUAGUGUGACUGGUCCUUUGACCUGCGGUGCCUCGGCUAUUCACAAUGAGGUUACUGUAGUUUGACUGUACAUACACUUGGUCCCUAGCCAUUCGGGUCCUUGCGGUGCAUGUUGGCUGCAGUAGGUUCAUUGUAGGAAUAGGGUGCGCACUUAGAUGGAAUCUAUCUCCCUUGGUAGAUAGGGGUGUUAGUCCUAUGUGAUUUAUGAGACCGAGUUUAGAAGACCUUGGCCAGGGCAGAAUAAAUAGCGGAAAAGGGUUUCCGAUAUUAGAAACUCGAGUCGAAUAAAUUUAACAUAUGACAGACGAUGGGGUUUGACGAGUUAUUCCAUAACCUCCGUCUAGUCGGGACUCAUGAUAGAAGGAUUGUAUCACACGGUAACUGCACCAAGAGGUUCAUUAUUCCAUUCUACUGGAAUGCCACUACAUGCUGCUAGGCGUCACUGGUGGAUUGUGAGACUCAUGAGAAUUAUCUAGAUGAUCGAUAAUUCUCAUUGGGCUGAGUUGGAAUUGUUCUAAUCCAUUGAAAGGAGUUUCAGUGAUAUUGUUGAUAGUGAUCAAAAUAUAUCUCACUACCAGAUAGAAUAGAACCUAUGGGGUCACACACAUAAGAGGUUGUGAUUGAUCGGAUAGCUAGAUCACGAUUAUUGAAUCGCCGGAGGACCUAAUUAUCAAUUUAAUGAUAAUUAGACUAAUUUGUAAUUGUUACAAAUUAGUGGUAUUAAGGUGUAAAUGUUACAAGAGAGGACUUACUAAUAGUUAGUAAAUUAUAAGAGGACUUAUGUGCAAGUGUUGUAUUAUUAAUUUGAUAAGAUUAAAUUAAUAUAAAAUUCAAAUCGAAUCAAAUUAGGAUUUGAUCGAUGUAACCAAUUAAGGAAAAGAUAAAUUUAAAUAUAGAUUUAUACUUAUCCUUAAUUGUCAUUAUAUUAUUAGGAAUAGGAUUAUAUUCCUAUAUAUAAUAUACGGGAGUUUUUAGAAAACCCUAGCCCGUCAUAUCUCUUCUCCUCUCUUCCAUCUUCUAGCAAAUAGACGUCCUUUUGCAAGGGAGCUAGCACCCCGGUGAGGACAUCGAUCAAAUCAAGAACCUCGUGUGGAUACCUAUAGAGGCCGGACGCGUGUGCGGCUUCAAGAGAACCCGAUUCCACGAUCAUCAAAUUGAGGCAAGGAUUUAUCCGCGAAAAAGGUAAAGAUUCGAUCUUACUUUUCUCCUUUAAUCUUAAAGAACAUGAGGGAUCCUAAUUGCGUGGUUUUGAGAUUAGAUCUCGAGAGUUUUUCAAAAUCAAAUCUGUUUGAUUUCUUUUUCCGCUGCGUUUUACCGUACGCAAUUUUCUAACAAGCCGGACUGAAGGUCAAUCGUAGAAUACACUCGCGACCCCUGCAGCUGAUCAAACAGGUCGUCGAUACGGGGUAGCGGGUACCUGUUCUUCACCGUGACCUUGUUCAACUCGCAGUAAUCUACGCAGAGUCGAAAAGAUCCUUCCUUCUUUCGCACGAACAAUACCGGGGCACCCCACGGCGAAACGCUCGACCUAAUGAAUUCCUUGUCGAGAAGAUCCUGUAAUUGAUCUCUCAACUCUCUCAGCUUGGCCGACGCCAUGCGAUAUGGGGCCUUAGAAAUCGGUGCUGUCCCGGGAACCAAGUCAAUCAUGAACUCGAUCUCCCGGUCCGGCGGCAUACCCGGUAACUCUACGGGAAACACGUCGGGGAACUCCCACACAACCGCCAACUCUUCGAGGGUCGGAACCACUCGAUCAAUCUCCACAACGGUCGCCAAAAAGGCUGCGCAACCGCUGUUCACCAACUUCCUCGCUCUAGUCGCCGAUACCGUCGCGACGAAACACGAGCUCUUGCAAGCUCGGUAGGUGAACUCAACCUGACCCGGCUCUCGAAAUGUGAUAACACGAGUCGGGCAAUCGAUCGAUACAUAGUACUUCGAGAGCCAAUCCAUGCCCAAAAUUAUAUCGGACUCCUUCAACCUUUCGAGCACCAACAAGUCGAUCGGCAUAAUCCAGUCAUUCACUUGCACUGGACAUGCCAAACAUCGCUCCCUAACCAUAAAGGAUCGCCCGGGGCCCUCAACAUGCCACACGUGCUCCCCCAGACGAUACUCGAUAUCGUGUGCUUGUGCGAAUGAUCGACUAAUAAAGGAGUGUGAUGCGCUGGUAUCAAACAAAGCUCUAGCUCGAACACCUUUAACCAAAAUUAUACCUGCCACAACGUUGCGCUCGCCGGCCUCAAAAGGUUCCUCAACAUGCACGGGUGCAGCAUACAUCCUCCCGCUCGGCGCUGAUCGUGUAGGCUCUGGUUGGCGUGGCGCCGCCGCUCGCCCAGUAGAUGCCGCAGGAGGGGGCAAGGCAUAGUGAGCUGGAACCGCCGGGGCCGAUGCAGUUAACAUAGCGGGCGAAGCUCCUCCUUGAGGACUAUCGCGGAUGACAUGUCCCGCUUGCCCGCACUUGAAGCACCUCCCUCGGCGCUGCUCACAAACACCCGGCCGGUGGUCUCCACCACAGAAGACACAUCGCUGAGCACCACGACCCUUGGGCUGAGAGCGUGGAUACUUUCGGGGCCUCUUAGAGCUAGACUGACCGCCCGAACCACUGCCCUGUCUCUUCUUACCCUUGUCCUUGUCGAGCGCCUCACGGUCCUCACACUCGCAAGUGUUCCCGUGCUCAACCCAUAGUGCGCGGUCUAAAGCCUCCGCCAAAGAGUGGAACUUGAAGGCAUGCACCAAUCUGAAAACUCCGGGCCAUAGUCCCCGAACAAAACAAUCCGCCCGGUCCUGCUCUGUCGCCGCCACGUCCGGGACGCAGCUCAGGAGAUGGGUGAACUCCCGCUCGUACUCCCGAACUGUGCUGUUGCCUUGCUUGAGCUUGCGAAAAUCUUCUCGCAUCUUCCUCUUGUCACUGUCGGGGAAGUACUCGGUGAACAUCAGCUUGCGGAACUCCGCCGAAUCGAACGGGGGAAGCUCCGGGGAUCGGUCCUAUUUGACCCUCCUCCACCAAGUCCUGGCCCGCUUCUCGAAGCAAUGCGCGGCCAAGUUCACCUUGUCCUUCUCCAAGGUGAAGAUGUCCUCAAAUAGAGUCUCCAUAACUGUCAGCCAAGACUCCACCGUCGCUGGAUCCACCACCUCUCCGUCGAAAGUAGGCGGGUGAAACUUCGUGAACCUCGUGAGCGCCACGUAACCGCGCUCAUGCUCCGCCUCCUCAGCCGCCACCACGGGUGUAGGAGAACUUGAACUCGCCGGAGGAAUAUCCACCGGUGGGGGUUGCGCCGCCACCGGAACCGAUAUGCUGCCGACACCCUCGGCCAUAUCAGGGGUAUGAACCGAAGGUGCAGGGGGACCGCGGCCUACUUCUGCCGCCGCCACAGCCUGCUGCUCCAGCAGCUCCUGGAUCCUAUCGAACCGUCCAGUGAGCGCCGCAACCUGCGCUCGCAGCUCCUGCACCUCAGUAGGCCCAGCUGGCCCUGGCGCCAUUGAAGGCACGGCUGGCCCGGGCACCUCUCGAGGUGGUGCCUGAGCGGUCCUACGCACAUAGCGUCUCUUUGGUGCCAUAGCUCCUGAAACGCAACAGUUGGUUAAUUACUUAACCCAACAACAACGUCAUAAUAGCGAAACAUAACGAUUAAACAACAUCAAUCAGGCGGUAGCUUGCAAGUGUCUUAAUUCUCGACUUUCGGCAUCGUGUUGUCGGCAGCCAACAUAAUCACCUUAAGCCAAAAAUUAAUACCACUUGGAUCAUCUCUAGCCAUAACUAGAGUAACAAUACCAACUCCAAACCCAAUCAAUUAGCUUCCGCCGCGUCAUAGGUUCACGUCGCACUCACGCACCUAUAACCUUAGGGUUAACCAACCUAGGGUCUCCUAGGUCAUCAUAGACUCUCUCCUUUGCUUGCUCUUAACUCGCUCUGAUACCACAACUGUCACGCCCCGACCGCACGACCUGAAAACGGUACCUAUUUGGUCCGGUUCGAGGGCGGCGGCGUGAGGCCGAACGGACAGAGUCUCCCCUAUCCGCCCAAGGCUAACCAACGAGAUUGUGUACAACAAGUCCCCAGGAAAAACAACUUGAUUUCAUACACAAUCAAACAACGAUAACACAAAAAGUGUUAAAACCAUCGAGAGCAAGCGAUACUAGUAAAAGCAUACAAGUAUACAAAAGAGAGAAACAUAACUAUUUGAACCAUGAAAUCUAAAGCAUUAAAUACAACUUGCAUUCAACUUCAUACAUUGUUUUUCAAUCUUUUCCAAAAUGUAAAUACAUCAAGUACUCUCCAAAACCUCACCCUAUACAACAUCUACUCUCAAAAUAUGAAGACAGGGUGGAGCUAAUGAAAGUAGAAAGUAAGCUAUUAAUUGAUACAGCUAGGGCGCCAAGCCCUUGCCGCGAUCCUCUCGCUCGGUCGGGGCACUCGAACUAGCACCUGCAACAACGGGUGUGAGAACUACGAAUAGUUCCCAGUGGGUUCGGCCGCCGACUCCACCGAUCUACCCACUAGAUCGAAGCAGGCAUAGAGAGAUAUAUAUGCAAUAUAUAUGUAAAGCUAAACUGGCAAAAAGCAGGUAUGAUAACUGAGCAAGUAAGGAACAUGAGCAACUAGGUAGAAUCAUGAAUAUCUAGCUAUGCUUCAAUCUGAUAUCAUGCAUGCAUGAACAAUAAAUAAAGCUGGGUAGUAAGCUACUAUGAACAACAACAAUAAGUAAGCUAUCAUGAACAACUAUAGGGAAGCUACGAUGAACAACAAGUAAUGAGUGUGACUCAAUAAGUUAUCCAAUCUCAUGGUGAACUCGAAGUUCACAAGCAUAACUCACGUGCAAGUCUCAUAAGGAAAGUCUCACUGAACUACUCCCGAGACCACCUGCGGACAGCACACAAACCGUCCAGACAGCACAUUGACUGUCCCUCUAGUGACCAACCUCCGGAGUGCAUAGCUUGCGGGGAGCGAGCCCUCCAAGCGCAGACAGGAUAUGUGAGCACGAUCAACUCACGAACAACAGCAACCUACCCUCUAAGGGUAAUCUCAUCAUGGAAUUAAG
This 9680-nucleotide long non-coding RNA is filed under the name Ananas comosus (pineapple). RNAcentral's name for it is "long non-coding RNA (ACOM_LNC034633)". Lineage: Eukaryota; Viridiplantae; Streptophyta; Magnoliopsida; Poales; Bromeliaceae. The record is from RNAcentral.